This 520-nucleotide ribosomal RNA is filed under the name uncultured Glomeromycotina. RNAcentral's name for it is "SSU rRNA". It matches the Rfam family "Eukaryotic small subunit ribosomal RNA", at positions 569 to 1092 of the family's 1831-position model. The record is from RNAcentral. Lineage: Eukaryota; Fungi; Glomeromycota.
AGCAGCCGCGGUAAUUCCAGCUCCAAUAGCGUAUAUUAAAGUUGUUGCAGUUAAAAAGCUCGUAGUUGAAUUUCGGGAUUAGUACGCUGGUCAUGCCUUUGGUAUGUACUGGUGUUACUGGUUCCUACCUUCUGAAGAACCGUCAUGUCAUUAAUUUGGUGUGGCGGGGAAUCAGGACUGUUACUUUGAAAAAAUUAGAGUGUUUAAAGCAGGCUCGCGCUUGAAUACAUUAGCAUGGAAUAAUGAAAUAGGACGUUUGACCCUAUUUUGUUGGUUUCUAGGAUCGACGUAAUGAUUAAUAGGGAUAGUUGGGGGCAUUAGUAUUCAAUUGUCAGAGGUGAAAUUCUUGGAUUUAUUGAAGACUAACUACUGCGAAAGCAUUUGCCAAGGAUGUUUUCAUUAAUCAAGAACGAAAGUUAGGGGAUCGAAGACGAUCAGAUACCGUCGUAGUCUUAACCAUAAACUAUGCCGACUAGGGAUCGGAUGAUGUUAUUUUUAAUGACUCAUUCGGCGCCUUACG